AUGGACAAUUCAUCUUCACUCACCUCAUCUGUUUUUUCAUUGGACUGUGAGAACGCUAACCUCGUAGCACAGCCUGUAGCCUUCGCAGCUGCCCAGCACGUAACUCAGUCAGCUGCCCAGCACGUAACUCAGUCAGCUGCCCAGCACGUAACUCCAUCACAUUCAGCCUCACAAUCCAUAGCCCAGUCAAUAGCUCAGUUGGUAAAGGAAUCAUUAGCUUUGUCAUCUGCUCAGUCAGCCACUCAUCUUCACCCUCAGUCAGGGGUCCCUAUUGCCUCUGGCCCUGCAUCUACUCCAGCUGGUGGGCCCGAGUCGCCCGUCCAGCCUCAAGUUUCGUUUGCUGGGGGUUCGGGAGAACCCAGCCAGUCUCAAGUUUUGUCAGCUGGAGGGUCCGAGGAGCCCGUCCAGCCUCUUGCCACGUUUGCUGGAGGCUCCGAGGAGCCCACCCAGCACCAGGCCUUGUUAGCUGAGGGUCCUGGAGGACCCAGCCAGCACAUACUCACAUCUGCUGACGGUCCGGGGAAGUCUGUUCAGCCGUCACCUGCUGAAUCAUCCCCCGCGACUUCUACAUCAUCGCCUGCAGCAUCCGCAUCAUCGCCUGCAGCAUCGCUGCCGUCAGGUUCCGCAGCCGUCCCGCUGCCGUCUGGUCCUGCCUCUGUGUCGUCAUCCGCGCCUGGUCCUGACUCUGUGUCGUCAUCCGCGCCUGGUCCUGCCUCUGUGUCGUCAUCCGCGCCCGCAGCAGCAGCUUCGUCCUCGCUUGCAGAGGAGCUCAGCGAGUGCGAGGAGCCCGCGCCACCUGCAGAAGAGCUCGGCGAGCGCGAGGAGCCCGCGCCACCUGCAGAAGAGCUCGGCGAGCGCGAGGAGCCCGCGCCACCUGCAGAAGAGCUCGGCGAGCGCGAGCAGCCCGCGCCACCUGCAGAAGAGCUCGGCGAGCGCGAGCAGCCCGCGCCACCUGCAGAAGAGCUCGGCGAGUGCGAGGAGCCCGCGCCGCCAGCAGAGGAGCUCGGCGAGCCGCGGCAGGAGAGAGCACCGGAGGGGCCUGCGCCGCCUGAUCAGGAGCUCAGCGAGCUGGAGCAGGAGCGCGGUGAGCCAGAGGAGCCCGCACUGUCAUCGGAGGAAGACCUCGGUGAGUCGGAGGGACCGCCACGUCCUCCGCGACCAGCAGCGCGACCAGCAGCGCGACCAGCAGCACGGCCGGCACGUCCUCCGCGACCAGCAGCACGGCCAGCAUAUCGUGGAUUGUGUGUUGCGCUACAUUGGCGCCCACCGGAGAUGCAGCAGCGCCACCGUCACCGAAUCCGUGGCAGGCCACCUGAACCGUUUCGCUGCCGCUGCCGGACCCAUGGCCGCCCGCCGGAGCAGCAGCGUUGCCGCCACUGGACUCGUGGCAGGCCACCGGAGCUGCCGCUCCAUUGCUGCCGGAUCUGUGGUCACCCGCCAGAGCCACAUUGCUGCUGCCACUGGACCCAUGGUAGGCCACCUGAACACUUGGGUUAUGGUUUUCGGCCACAUGAACUGCUCUAUGGGGACUGUUUUCACGCCGCUGCUGGGUGUGCGGUCUGA
Long non-coding RNA from Oreochromis niloticus (Nile tilapia), 1563 nucleotides. The record is from Ensembl. Lineage: Eukaryota; Metazoa; Chordata; Actinopteri; Cichliformes; Cichlidae.